Molecule: ribosomal RNA, 433 nt
Filed under: uncultured bacterium
Lineage: Bacteria
Description: partial 16S ribosomal RNA
Rfam family: Bacterial small subunit ribosomal RNA
Source: RNAcentral
AACGAACGCUGGCGGCAUGCCUAACACAUGCAAGUCGAACGAGACCUUCGGGUCUAGUGGCGCACGGGUGCGUAACGCGUGGGAACCUGCCCUUAGGUUCGGAAUAACUCCCCGAAAGGGGUGCUAAUACCGGAUAAUGUCUUCGGACCAAAGAUUUAUCGCCUUUGGAUGGGCCCGCGUUGGAUUAGCUAGUUGGUAGGGUAAAAGCCUACCACGGCGACGAUCCAUAGCUGGUCUGAGAGGAUGAUCAGCCACACUGGGACUGAGACACGGCCCAGACUCCGACGGGAGGCAGCAGUGGGGAAUAUUGGACAAUGGGCGAAAGCCUGAUCCAGCAAUGCCGCGUGAGUGAUGAAGGCCUUAGGGUUGUAAAGCUCUUUUACCCGGGAUGAUAAUGACAGUACCGGGAGAAUAAGCUCCGGCUAACUCCGUG